RNAcentral lists this long non-coding RNA (570 nucleotides) under Lactuca sativa (garden lettuce). Its description in RNAcentral is "long non-coding RNA (LSAT_LNC005563)". Lineage: Eukaryota; Viridiplantae; Streptophyta; Magnoliopsida; Asterales; Asteraceae. The record is from RNAcentral.
UUGUACAUAUUGAUGUUGUAUCUUAUCCCAUGAGUUCGAUCUUAAAGCUAAGUAAACUAAAAAAUCAUAGCACUUGUGAUUCCACUCGUUUGUAGACUUGUUUAGAAUCCAUGAUACGAUAAAUCAUUUGAUUGGAAAUGUAAAUGUAGUCAUGAAAUGCGCCUGCUUAGUCAAGAUUCCCCUAAUAAAUAUUCAAGUUCAUUACAAAGUUAUACAUGUAUGAAUAAUGUCCUUUCGUAGGUUAUGUUUUGAAGAGAAGCAAGAAUGAAUCUCAUAAAAGUCAUUAAUAUCAGUAGGAGAUGAUGUGAGAUUUGUUGUAAAUGAGUAAAGGGAAAAUGAAUCAGGAGGGUAACCAACUGUUGCGUUUGUUCUCAUUUGGUCCCUUUCCUUUUUUUUGUACUCAAUAUACCAUCGAACUUGUUUUCUGUGUUCACCAUAACCCUUUGACCGGCUAUCACAGGUCAAAAGCCGGUCAAAAGGGCUAUGGUAAACACCAACAACAAGUUCGAUGAUAUAUUGAAUACAAAAAAAAGAAAAGGGACCAAAUGAGUACAAACGCAAAAGUUAAUU